RNAcentral lists this transfer RNA (85 nucleotides) under Cuscuta costaricensis. RNAcentral describes it as "tRNA-Leu". It matches the Rfam family "tRNA". From Rfam's summary of the family: Transfer RNA (tRNA) molecules are approximately 80 nucleotides in length. Their secondary structure includes four short double-helical elements and three loops (D, anti-codon, and T loops). Lineage: Eukaryota; Viridiplantae; Streptophyta; Magnoliopsida; Solanales; Convolvulaceae. The record is from RNAcentral.
GGGGAUAUGGCGAAAUUGGUAGACGCUAUGGACUUAAAAUCCAUCGAUUUUGAAAAUCGUGAGGGUUCAAGUCCCUCUAUCCCCA